AACACCUCUGCUCUGCACACAGGGGCACCUCUCCAGCUGUCUCCAGUGGCCACCGCUGGGGCAGGGAGUUCUCUGGGCUGGCCGCUACCAGGCACGGCGCUCUCUUCUGCAUGGAGCUGCCCUGGCCAGAGCUCUCAGAAUGGAGAAGAAUAAAGCAAGAGACACAAAUUUAAUGAAUGGUUGAAAUGGGCCCCUCUGCGUGAGUUUGUGUAAACGGGUUCUACAGGUCCUGGUUGGUGUUGAUGGAGGAAAAGCUACCAGGAAACAGCAAGCAAAGGAGAAAAAAAUGUAUACACUGAAAAGUGCUAUGUGGAAGUCUCCAAAGAACUGAAAAUCUCCAGAGCUUAGCAGUUCUGUUGAAGCCACAGGAACUGGUAAACUCAGAACACCAACUGCCUGAUGAAUCUGUACAAGACCACUAGCACACAGCAGCAUUAACAACGGGUAUAAUAACUCAGACCAUAUUCAGGCAGUGGUUGCUGUUUGCAGACAAAGACUGCUGAAUUAUUUAUACAUCUGAUGAAAUCCCGUGAAGGCCUUUCUGAACCUACCCAGAAGCCACUGGUGCAUCAAGACAGCCCUCUGCUUCUGAGUGUACCGCUGGGUGUGGCCUCCCAGUGGUUGCUCCAGACAGGUAGCUACAAGUGAGGGUGUGGACUGAGUGAGGGAAUUAGUGAGUGUGUUCUGAGAAUAGUGACCUGCUCUUAAUAGAAACAGCUUGACUCUACCAAUAAUAACAGUCAAUUAAUAAACAGUGUUCUAAAAAAUGUUGCUUGUUAUCUUUGUCUCCCCCAAAUCAUUUUUUCUAUAGGGAAAAAGGGAACUUACAACAGAACAACUCCUCUCCUGAAGAAGAGCUGUCAGGGGCUGCAGGAACUCAUUGUUCCUCUGAGAAGUAUAAUAUCCUGAACAAAUUUUUCAGCUUAAAUGCCUCAGCACUCAGACAACCAGAAAUUCAUCCUAUCCUGCUGCUCUGAACCAUGGGUCAAACACCAUUUCUUGCGUUAUGUUCUUCCUUCAACUGAAAUGCAUAAAUGAGAAGGGUCCUAACAAAGCAUGGCACAUUUAACAAUUGCACACUAGGAGGCAUGCUGGCAUGUCCUGUGAAACAGGAAAUCUUGAGAGGCCAAAGGGAAGCAGAAUUACAGAAUCAGAAGCAAAAAGAAGAAGAAGAAGAGAAACAGAACAAAUAAGGAAACAGAGGGCAGACUGGCGUUUUCUGAUAAGGAAAAGAAGAUGUAAAAGAGAACAUAUCAAAUGAAACAGUUGAUCAAUAGGUCAAUCAGCAGAGCUGGAAGCCCCGAACUUUACAGCAUUCACAUCCAGCUUAAAUCUUCAGUGCUGUUUCCUUUCUCUAGCUCAGGCCUCCUUAGAGCUGUGGCGUCAAGCUUUUUGGAACCUGGAAAGUCAUAUUUUUUUUCUUGGCAAUACUACUUGGUAAUUUACAGUAAAGUUACUUUAAAUUGCACCGGGGUCUGAUCCUAGGUGUCUGCUUGGACUGAAGAGAGGAAAACAUGUUCUUGCUCUUUUCAGUGUUCAGCAAAUACAGGGCCAUCCUUAGCUGAAAAGACAGAAAUUCCCUAAAUGAUAAAACCCAUUUGUUCUUUUCCGUACAAUGGACCAAACCUGAAAUGAUGGUGUCUCUAUUUACUCUAAUAAACUGUUCAUCUCCCAUCGCAGUCCCCUUGGGGUGGGGGGCGUGGGGGCAGGGAGUGGGGAAGCAGAAGCACUGUGAGCAUUCUUGCCUGCUCCUCUAGCUGUGGUAACUGCCUUUAUAGAAGAUGUCAGAUUGUGCAGGCCUAAACAGCUCUUUUCCCACUGCUGUUUAUCCCCUAUUCUAUAUACAGGAGGCUGACAAUAUCCCCUUCCAGACGGCGUUCUGUUAAACUAAACUAGAAAAGAUUUUCAGUUUUUCUCCUGUAAGAGAAGCCUCACAUUCCCAUAGCAGCAGCAGCCUUUUCCUGCACUCUAAUUUUGGUUUGUCUUUUCUGACCAGAGAUGCUUAAACAACAAGAGGGUUCCACAUGAAGCCAGGCUUGAGAAACAGCUUGUCUUUAUUUCGGUUGUGAACGCAACUUCCAAAGUUUAUCUUGCUCACAGGAUGAAAAUGGUCUGUGUACAUCCUGUGAUCAACUUCCACAGUCAUUGCCAACAGAUAAGCUUAAUGUUUUAAUAAGUCUUUUUAGCUAUUAGUCUUCCAAGUUCAUGACCUUGUAUUUUGUGCUACUGAAUUUCACCCACUGUCCAGUUCUUCAGGUUUCCGCUACUAAAUCUCCAGAUCCAGUGCUCCCAUGCUACAGAUAAAUGCAGAAGGGCUUCCAGCACUGGGCAGGGGUUAUUCCCUCCCCACCCUCCAUGUCCACUCAGUCUUCCUCUCCUGAAAGGUAUGGUACACAGAAAAGAAGCCACAAGUUGCAAUAGCCUCCUACUGAACAGAGACUUUACUGUAAAUCCUGUAGUUUGUUAUCAGAAGAAACUGCCAUGAAGGAAGCACGAAUAGAAGAGAAAUUCCUGCUUGAAUCUUACAAGGUCCCAGACCUCUUCUGACCUUUUCCUGUGGUUCCUACUGCAUUUUGAACUAAAUGGGAAAACUAAAUGAUUUUCCAGGAUUUUUAAUCUAGAUCUAUAAUGUAUGUUCUCUAAACAGAUUCUUUCCAUCUCUUCUGUUUCCUCCGUUUCCAGAGAAAAUAAUCUGCAAAUAAAGAAUUUUGGCUUCACUCUUUACA
Dromaius novaehollandiae (emu) is the source of this 2726-nucleotide long non-coding RNA. RefSeq lists it as uncharacterized. Lineage: Eukaryota; Metazoa; Chordata; Aves; Casuariiformes; Dromaiidae. The transcript has 2 exons. The record is from RefSeq and is a predicted model, not a curated record.